RNAcentral lists this ribosomal RNA (253 nucleotides) under uncultured bacterium. RNAcentral describes it as "partial 16S ribosomal RNA". It matches the Rfam family "Bacterial small subunit ribosomal RNA", at positions 524 to 776 of the family's 1533-position model. The record is from RNAcentral.
UACGUAGGGUGCAAGCGUUGUCCGGAAUUAUUGGGCGUAAAGAGCUCGUAGGCGGUUUGUCGCGUCUGCUGUGAAAACUGGAGGCUCAACCUCCAGCCUGCAGUGGGUACGGGCAGACUAGAGUGCGGUAGGGGAGAUUGGAAUUCCUGGUGUAGCGGUGGAAUGCGCAGAUAUCAGGAGGAACACCAAUUGCGAAGGCAGCUCGCUGGGACGUAACUGACGCUGAGACGCGAAAGCGUGGGGAGCAAACAGG